UAUUUGCCUAUUGAAAACAGUCAAAGGCUUGCUCUUCUGAAUGGGGCCGGGGGGGUGGGGUGGGGGGUGUUGCACCUAGGAGUGAAAAGUUGUUGCUGACUAUUCGUGGCUGCUUUUUAAGAUCAGAUAUCCGCGUGUUUCCUCUCGUGUUGCCGGUUCCUUCUGUUUGUUUGACAGCGAAGGCUGUACUCCUGUUUUCUCCACGAAGCAUUGUGCACCUGGGUGUGGAGACUGGCGGAGGGAGAAAGCGAUUAGAGCAGUGAGCCUCCGCUGGUUGGGUGGACCCCUGUGAGCGGGUGUCGGCCCUGAGCCCUGCCUGCCUGCCUCGGCCUCCGGGUGCUUGGUCAGGUUUGGGGACUAGAAAGAGGGGCAGUGAGUUCUUUUUAUUUGGCUGUUGGGCAGGACUCGGUGAGCACCAGUUAGAAGCGGGAUCCCUGCUCGGGCUGACGUCGGGGUGAUGAUGCUGUUCCGGGGCAUCCUGGUGCAGAGCAGCUGCCUUCUGGAGAAGCGGCGAGGAGGAGCGACCUGUCGCUCUCUGACCUGGGCCCUUGCUUACCACUCAACGGCCAGACCCAGCACACCAGGGAAGGGUUUCUUCUGAGGCAUCCUUCUGUGUGCAUGUUUUGUUUAUCGUGCCGAGGAAGAAAUGGCCAGGAGAUUAACUUCUGAUACAAUUUUAUGUGUUUGAUUUGGGGAAUUCUGAAUGAGUUGGACUCAAAGAUGCAUCUUUGAACCCUGCCUCUUGGAGUGUAUAAUUUACUUAAGCCAGCCUCCCAUAAAUCUAAAAAGAACAAGCAACAUGAAAGAAGGCUAACUGCAGUGGAAACUGCUAUGCUCUGAGAAGGACUUUUGGAGGUUUCAACGAUUCUGACCCUUGUUUUGUUUCUUCUCGAUGUACUGCUGGUGAAGGAAAUGUGGAGCUGGGGGCUUGCACGGGAAUGGAGUGUUUUGGCACCAAUCUUCCAGUAUCACGGUAUAGAGUUAUUUUGGCAGUUUGUCGUGAGCUUUUCAUUCCUCUGAAAUGAUGGGAUCCCUCUUAGUUUGAUUCCUUCUGGUAACACCCCGUGCACUUGGUAUUAGCCUCGAAGAUGCUUGGAAGUACUUGUUUCCGUGAUUAUAUCUCAAUUAGCGUUCUCUGGCAACACUUUUCAUUUAGCAGGACUGUUUUCAGUUGCCCAAACUGGGCGCUCAGCAUUUCUUUUUAUCUAAUCUUUUUAGAAUUCUAAAAGCAGCCUUCAAGUUGUAUUCUAAAUCCAUUAAACCAGAGUAAGAACGGGGGCUACCUGGCAUGAUACAGUGUUUGGAUUUACACAGAUACUGUCAAUCGUCUGUCUGAAAUUUCAAGUAUUUUCACUUGGCUACAAAAUUUAUGGAAAACGUAGGAUAAAUAACCUUUUUUUUUUCUUUUUAUAAAAUUAGAGGAGUCUUUAAAUGUCAGUAAUUACCUAGAAGGUGCGGACUCUUUUUUGUUAGUUUGCAAGAAACUUCUCAAUGGCUAGUCUUUCCCUCAGUUUCCAUUUUUAUUGAGAAAUUCACACACUGAAGCACGAUUAUUAUAACAGACGUGACUAGGAACUGAUAAAUUUUAAUCAUGUUGAAGUUUCUUUCGUUGCAAUUUUUGCACUAAAAUGACCCCUACUGGUUGUAUCUGUUAAUGAAAACUGUUUUUGAAAACUUAUUUAAUUGCCUACACUGAGAAAUCCUAUUGCAUGUUAUAGAUAUAUUAUCAUUACUAAUCUACCGGCUUUCGAGGACAUAAAUUAAAUACCAGUUACAUUGUUCCGCUUGCCAAAUUGCAGUAGUUUUUAUUUGUGUUACUCUCCAUUCUGGCUUUGUGGUGAAAAAAAAAAAUCAUGUUUUUAAACUGUGGUUCACAUAAUGAGUUAGAUAAAUCAGAAGCAAAAGUGGACCCCUUCCAACCUGUGGCUCACUGUCUUAGGUUUAAAAGCACGCCAGCCCAUAGUAGGCUCUCAAUAAAUGUGUAUUGAGCAAAUGGAUGAACAGUCUUCUCCAUAGAAAGAAUAGUGAAGAAAAAAUAUUUUCUGAAAGAUGAAAUAAUGUGAAGAGUUGUGCCCUGUGAGUCACGUGACAUACAUGUACACUUGGUCUUUUCAGCGUUGUUUAGAUUGUUAUCAACCAAAUCGUUCUUUUUAAAAAAAAAAAUACAUUUUUGGUUUAAGUGCAUUUUAAAAAUCGAGAGCCAUAGAGCCAAGUACCUAAAGUUUUUUCCUGCUCUCUCGCAGUCUAAAAAGUGCUUUUUGGCCCCCAGGAGGGCACAAGUCUCUUUAUUGUUUCCACUCAUUAGGUGAGUCCCUGUGGCCAUUUCUGACUUCCCAAGCAGCCUGUCCCUUGGCUGGGCUGCCUGCCGCCAGGUAAAUCACCUAGAAGUCGGAGAAACAAGUUUGAAUUCUGAACUCCUGAGGAAGAAGACUGGAUGGGAGAUCAAAGACAGAGUUUUGAAAAAUUACCAAAGCGGGAUUUUCUAGGAAGAAGGUUUUGAUUGUACCAUGAGGAUUCUAUUUUGGGAUGGGGAAGUGGGGCACAGGAGUCAAAUAUUACCUUGUGUUUGCGGAGCCAAGGAAGGGAGAAGUGGUCGUGUCUACAGGACUCUUUGCCAAGGGCUGUCGGCGGAAGGGCUUGGAGGAAAAGAUCAAGUGUUCUCACAUAGUUCUGUUUAUUGCGAGGUGGUGGAGAGGGCAAAACACAGUGAUCGGGACGUUAUUGACAUCUUUAGAUGCUGGCAAUCUUUAAGCCAUGGUGAGUGUUGGCCCAGCCUGGAUUCAGGGUAGAAUUUAUGCCUCUCUUUUGUGAAUGGGCUGGCCUGCUGCCUCCACUCUUUCUCCGUUUCCCUCCUUCACUUCAUUAAUUACGAUGACUGUGAGGUAGGUAGGUGACAGCUACCACAAGGGGAGAAGCUUGAGCAAAGACAGGCCGAAACUUGCCCAAAUUCACAUGCUCCUUUCUGCCUCUGACACUAGGAGAGAGUUGAGUAAUUGCUGUUCUUCCUAAUACUGCAGGCGGCAGCCAAAUUCCCAGCAUUCUUUUACCUUUGCGGCUGUUUUCACUUGCCAGGGAGUUUCCUUCAGGAGCAGGCUGGAUUUAAAGAAACAUAGCAGUCCUUGCACGUGAGGGUUGGGUGGGGGUGGCCGGGGUACUGGCCCAUGUGGCCCUUGGGCGCCUCACACCGGGAGGAUGAGCUGAGUAGUCUCUGCAAAGGGACGUGCUGCACCCCGUGCCAGCCCCCCUUGUUACCUCUGUGUGCUGCGAGCCCCGGGAGCAGGAAGCCCUGCGUGUCCGUGAGACAGCAAGUCUACCCUGACUGUAUUUCAAGAACAGGCCAGCUGUGAAGCUCAGGAAGUUGUCUCUUGGGGUCUAGAAACCCCACCCAUCCUUUGCAUAUUGUCCAGGUGGGUGGACCCGUGCGUGGCUCUGAAACAUGAUAUAACGUGAAUUAUUCCAAAGAAUGGGACGCCUAGUGUACACCAGCAAUCAGCUUGCUUUGCCUUGUGGAUAUUACAUUUUUGCCAAGAGCAGCCUUCCAGAAUGAGGUGCUAGUUAAUUCCAGUCGGGCAUUUAUUCGUUAAUAAGUCUGCUGAAUGCUAAAUACUCCAUUUGGGAGUAUGCGACUGGAGAAAACUCAGCAGCUAAUUAUUAUGUAGAUCUCUUCUGUGAUUCUCACUUUCAGUUCAAUUACCUAAGCCACCAAUCCUUAGCAAUGUGAACUUAUUUAACUUUUAGUUUUCUGUGAUAUUUUGCUUUUUGCUCCGAAAGUUUUUUUUUUUUUAACUGCUAUGAGAUUACUAAUAACUGGAUAGACAUUUUAUGUUGUUUAACAGAAAACCUUUCUGGGUUGUGGAGUACUGUGGCUUGCUCUGUUUUUUGUGUUUUCUUUCUUUCUUUUUUUCUUUCUUUCCUUUUCUUUUCUUUUCUUUCUUUCUUUCUUGAUAUCCGAAGUUAAAUCCUGUUCUGGAUCUUAUCCUAUCUGUCCUUCCAGGGUAGAUUUCUGGAUAGCUAAUUAAUGGUGGUGUCUGAAAUAGCCAUUGAGGGGUGGCUGGUGUUCAUUUACUAAUCGGAGCUUUUGCUGAAAAACUAGGUUCUAUUCUACUCUUCUUUGGUAUAUCAAUAGGUCUUUAUUUGGUUUCCUUCCUGCUUGGUUGGUGCAUAUUAGCUUGAGAACUUAAGAACUUUUGAGCUGGGGUGGGGGGGGCAGUAAUGAUGGUCUGAAUGCCUAGGGCCUUCUCUCUAGAACACUUCUCUCUUGGAAGUGGCCAGGGUGUUCAGUGUGUGUUUGCUGCCACCAGAGUCCGUGCUAGAAGGUCCAUUUGGUACUUCUCAUGCCCAUGACUUUGUGCUGUGCUUUGGCCCUCCUUCCCCCGUGAAUCCCUGCCAUGACCCAAGGCAGGCGUGCCCUAAGAUGAUGGUCUCUUGCUGUUGGGUGAUAGAGUAUUGAAUUUGAGGACCGCUGUCAGAAUUCCUCCUCAUCUGCUAUAAGAAGAACAAAUGGUCCCCAAGGGGUCCAGAUAGAUGGUGCAGGAAGGAGCACCACCACUCAUCGCUGAUGAGGUAUCUGAGCCAUACUCACGAUGAAGAUCACAGCUCUAACGGAAAUAGGGACAGUGAUCCGAACAGUAAGAGUAUUUGACCCCGGACCUGGAGAUUACAAUUUGGAAAAGAUGGUUUUAAAAAAGUGAUCAUGUCCACAAAGGCGACAAGAACAUGAAGCUGAAGUCCUUUGUCAGUGGUUUGUCUUGGUGCAUACCAGAAUUUUUUUCUUUCAACAUUAAGGUUCUCCCUUGUUACCCAACUUUAAAAAAAUAAAUUGAUUUCAA
Long non-coding RNA from Mirounga angustirostris (Northern elephant seal), 4829 nucleotides. RefSeq lists it as uncharacterized. NCBI's taxonomy places the organism in Eukaryota, Metazoa, Chordata, Mammalia, Carnivora, Phocidae. The record is from RefSeq and is a predicted model, not a curated record. The transcript has 6 exons.